This 440-nucleotide ribosomal RNA is filed under the name uncultured bacterium. RNAcentral's name for it is "partial 16S ribosomal RNA". It matches the Rfam family "Bacterial small subunit ribosomal RNA", at positions 338 to 795 of the family's 1533-position model. The record is from RNAcentral.
CCUACGGGUGGCAGCAGUGGGGAAUAUUGCACAAUGGGGGAAACCCUGAUGCAGCGACGCCGCGUGAGUGAAGAAGUAUUUCGGUAUGUAAAGCUCUAUCAGCAGGGAAGAAAAUGACGGUACCUGAUUAAGAAGCCCCGGCUAACUACGUGCCAGCAGCCGCGGUAAUACGUAGGGGGCAAGCGUUAUCCGGAUUUACUGGGUGUAAAGGGAGCGUAGACGGCAGCACAAGUCUGGAGUGAAAUGCCGGGGCUUAACCCCGGAACUGCUUUGGAAACUGUGCAGCUAGAGUGCAGGAGAGGUAAGUGGAAUUCCUAGUGUAGCGGUGAAAUGCGUAGAUAUCGCGCAGAACUCCGAUUGCGAAGGCAGCAUGCCGGCUCCACACUGACGCUGAGGCACGAAAGCGUGGGUAUCGAACAGGAUUAGAUACCCCUGUAGUC